AGGCUUGAGUGUUAGACCUCCCA
RNAcentral lists this non-coding RNA (23 nucleotides) under Arabidopsis thaliana (thale cress). The record is from RNAcentral. Lineage: Eukaryota; Viridiplantae; Streptophyta; Magnoliopsida; Brassicales; Brassicaceae.